CUUGUUGUUGUCGCUGCCAUGGUUGAGAAGGAGAUGAGGAAGUCACGGGACAUUCAAUUUCAACGUUCUCGUUCUUGACCCGAGUUUGUUGUGAGUGGAAACAAGAUAAGUUUCCAUGAGAGAUGUUCUGAGCCGAACAGUGAGAAGAGUGGAAGAGGAGGCUAGAGAGAACGAGAUGAUGGGAGGAUAGAGAGAGAGCGAGCUGUGGAGAAGAGAAGAAUUAGAGAGAGGAAUAAAGAAAUUAAAGCAGUUUGGUGGAGGCAUAUUUGGAGGCUCGCCGGCGCCGGAGAUUACGUUGAUCUGGAACUAUAAGAAGACUUGAGUCUUCAUCACCAAUCCAAGAGUACACAGGAACUUUGGGAUCGUUGUUUGGAGUUAAAUCCAAGAAAAUAUGGGUGUUGCUUCGGGGACAAGUAACUGAAAAAGUCUGUUAACCCAAAACCCUAAAAUCCAGUUCCUGAGUUGAGUUUUUUUUUUAUGUUGUUUCCCCCUCUAAAAGCCCAAUUGUUUUGUCUUCUAUCUAUAACUGUGAUGAAUAAAUUCAAUAUUUUUUAAAUAAUAGGGUAAACAUAUUCUUCGA
This 580-nucleotide long non-coding RNA is filed under the name Capsella rubella. RNAcentral's name for it is "long non-coding RNA (CRUB_LNC002312)". The record is from RNAcentral. Lineage: Eukaryota; Viridiplantae; Streptophyta; Magnoliopsida; Brassicales; Brassicaceae.